Non-coding RNA from Paramuricea clavata, 1010 nucleotides. The record is from the annotation of a GenBank genome assembly. Lineage: Eukaryota; Metazoa; Cnidaria; Anthozoa; Malacalcyonacea; Plexauridae.
ACGGACUGUACCACAUCAGUUUAAAAUGCAACAUGUAUCAACGUGCAAUGCAUAUAAUUUUUAAAGUGCAUAUUUUCUUAAAUUCUUCUGAAUUUCAACCUGGUUAAGGAAAAAAAAGUGUUCGGUUUCUGGUCAGUGUGUGUUACCUUUGACUAUGCGCCUCAACCGCUGAUCAUCUCAAGGAAAUUUUCUUCCCUGGUCAAGGAAAUCUACUGAAAUUUGUUAUAUGUUUAUGAAUACAUAUAAUUAGUACUUAAACGUACUGCAUGUUUUGGCAUAACUUUUAUGAGAGAUUAAGGCCCCAUUUUCAUGAGACCAGAAUGAAGUCAAACUGGGACCAUUUCGUUUCGGUCAUAGUACCGUAUUAUUUAUAAUAGAUGUUUACAUGAGAUCGGGACAAAAAUAGCUUAGACCAGUCUCAAGUCGGAACGCCUGCUGGACCAAGCCGACUGACUGCAGACCCGGACCGGUAUGAAUUCAGACUGGGAUGAAUGCAAGCACAAAUACAUUUCAGACCGGUCUUGGCUGUAACCUUGACAUUGGAACAACACAAUGCUAACAAAAGCCAUCUAUAAAAGAAAAUUGCCUGGCAAGGUGAAUACAUUGAAAAUUUUGUGGUUUUCGUACCGAUCUCAUGUAAACAUGUUGACAAUUUCAAUUUUCAUUCCAGUUUGACUUGUCCUGGUCUCAUGUAAACGCUUUAUUUGAUAUAUUUCUAUUAUUUCAUACAGCUGAAUAUUUAAUAUUGUUCUAUGUAAACUUGGUGACAGUAUAAGUACAUUAGACAUAACAAUGUAUGCAUGCACUUAUAUGUAGAAGCUAGAAAUGUACUUGCCAUUUCUACAAGAAGCAUUCCCUUGAAAAAAAUUUAAAAAAGAAUCUGUGCCCGUGUCAAUUUGGGACAAACAAACUAACUAGAAAAAUUUCAGUCCGGACUGAGUUAAAAUUUCAAUUCAAAAUUGGGCGAAAUCUCAGCCCGGGCUGAAAUGGUCAGGUCUCAAAUUGGAGCU